AUUGAACGCUGGCGGCAGGCCUAACACAUGCAAGUCGAGCGGCAGCGGAAAGUAGCUUGCUACUUUGCCGGCGAGCGGCGGACGGGUGAGUAAUGUCUGGGAAACUGCCUGAUGGAGGGGGAUAACUACUGGAAACGGUAGCUAAUACCGCAUAACGUCGCAAGACCAAAGAGGGGGACCUUCGGGCCUCUUGCCAUCAGAUGUGGCGAGAUGGGAUUAGCUAGUAGGUGGGGUAACGGCUCACCUAGGCGACGAUCCCUAGCUGGUCUGAGAGGAUGACCAGCCACACUGGAACUGAGACACGGUCCAGACUCCUACGGGAGGCAGCAGUGGGGAAUAUUGCACAAUGGGCGAAAGCCUGAUGCAGCCAUGCCGCGUGUAUGAAGAAGGCCUUCGGGUUGUAAAGUACUUUCAGCGGGGAGGAAGGCGUUGAGGUUAAUAACCUCAGCGAUUGACGUUACCCGCAGAAGAAGCACCGGCUAACUCCGUGCCAGCCGCCGCAGUAA
Molecule: ribosomal RNA, 506 nt
Filed under: uncultured bacterium
Lineage: Bacteria
Description: partial 16S ribosomal RNA
Rfam family: Bacterial small subunit ribosomal RNA
Source: RNAcentral